UGCCUGUAGUCCCAGCUACUUGGGAGGCUGAGGUGGGAGGAUCGUUUGAGCACAGGAGGUAGAGGUUGCAGUGAGCUGAGAUUGUGCCACUACACUCCCGCCUGGGUGACAGAGUGAGACUCUGUUUCAAAAAAAAAAAAAAAAAAAAAAGAUGACAACAACAGACAGCUUGUUCUCCAGAGAUGAAAGAACUGUCAGCAGUUUUGUUAAGUUAGUUGUUCCACGUUGCCUGGAAAUUUGUAUUGGCGCCCGGUGCCAAUUAAUGAGCACAUAGCUCAUUAAUUGUGAGGAUGACUAUGAGAUUUCUAUAGUCCUCUGCUAGUAGAGGGUGAGUCUUGAUUUGAUCAACCUCAGGCAAGGCUGUGAAGGAAGGAAGAAAGACUUCUCCUCUAGUAUACUGCCCGAUUACCUUCUUGGAUCUGUCCUGAGGACCAAGGGGCCCCUGUGUUUUCAACUGAUGGCUGAUGAACAGACUUUAAAUUAGCUGUGGAGCAGAAUUCUUCCUUCUGAUUGGAUUCAUCCACUGUCUCACCAUUCAGAGGAAGUUAAAGUCUUUCUCCUAGGCUUGAGGUCCCUCCAAUAACAGGUUUAUCUGUCUGGUUCUAUUGCCUAUUAUUUAUUGAGAAGGACAACAAUCAUUGGAAAAAUGGGCAACUCUAAUGUACUCUGGAGUGGGUCUGAACCAGGGAGUGGGGAGACAGGCAAUAUUUAAAGGCUAUGCAGAGCAUAAGGGCUGUUAAAACAGCACUGAUGGAUAAGACCCACGUGGGAGAAAUAAUUUUACUACUGCUUACAUGACCUAUGGGUAAUAAAAAGUAUUAAAAGGAACAGAUUUCUAAGAACAGGCAGCAGCUUAAUUCAUCUCAUAUAUAAGUAUGUAAAGGUAAUAGUGUAACAGUGAAAUAGCAAAAGAGCAUAACUCCAUUUUUUAGGCAACCUUUCCCCAUUCCUUCAAAUAGGCAAGGAUAAUUUUAGAGCACAAAUAUGCCAAAAUGGCAAUUGUGUAGGUUUAAAAACUCUGGGAUUUAAAAAGUGUGUAAACAACUAUGUUUUGUUAAACAUUUAUAGAAGCAUUGUGGCCUGACCAAUGACAAAGACGCACCCAACCUCCUCUGGCCCUCAUUGGUACCCAGAUGACUGUGUUUCACCUCUUGAUACCAAAACCCUCCUCUUCUCCACAGCCCUCUCCCAUAAAAAUCCUCCAGCCAGCCUGCAAAUUUUCAGAUGCUACUUUAGAAUGCUAGGUCACUAUCUAGCUGGCUUUCCAAAUAAAUCUACUUUUCCUCCCAGCAACUCUAGUCUUUCAAGCGGCGUGCAGCCAAACCUGGGUUCGGUUACAAUAGUAUAUGAAAACAUCAACUGCUCAAAGCUGCCAGGCUAACUAACUCUUAUUCUCAGGUUUCUUUUAUCUCUAUUUUAUUUUCUCAGCUUCAUUCAGUUAUAAUUGACUAAAACUGAAUAUACUUAAGGUGUAUGUUAUUAUUUGAUAUACUAUCGUUAGCUUUAGAUUCAGUUAUUCAUGACAUAACACGGGUUUUCCAGGUUCCUGACCCUGUGUUUAGAGGGUUAUUUCAUGGUAGUUAACUACUUUGGGUAUCCUGGAAUUUACACCUGUAGUUCAUGUUAAGUGGGUCAGGGGAAAAAUACACACACAGAGAAAAUGUGGUAGAAUAUUAACAAUUGUUGAGUCUAGGUGUUGGAUAUACAGGUAUUCAAUGUACUAUGUUUUUAAUUUAUCUGCAUGUUUGAAAUUUCCAUCAUAACAAGGUAGAAAAAGAUUUACUAAUUAUUCACCUGAGGAAGCUUUUAAAACUUUUAAUUGUUGAGGCUCAAAUCUCAGAGAUUCUGAUUCAGUCACUAGGAGGAAAGGCUAGGUACAGAUU
Long non-coding RNA from Sapajus apella (tufted capuchin), 1883 nucleotides. RefSeq lists it as uncharacterized. The transcript is spliced from 2 exons. NCBI's taxonomy places the organism in Eukaryota, Metazoa, Chordata, Mammalia, Primates, Cebidae. The record is from RefSeq and is a predicted model, not a curated record.